Molecule: long non-coding RNA, 2084 nt
Organism: Panicum hallii
Lineage: Eukaryota; Viridiplantae; Streptophyta; Magnoliopsida; Poales; Poaceae
Exons: 6
Source: RefSeq, a predicted model, not a curated record
AACAAUGUAUUGGACAAGUCUGAUCUCCAAUGUACGUCAAGGGUUCUCAAGUAUAGACUACUGAAGAGAAUGCAAUAUGCCUAUUUUGUUUUAGGACAUAUAUUCGUUAUGUUAUUUUGAAAUCUAUUCUAAUGAAUAAGUUUGGCCAUCUUUGUGCUGGCAGAAAAGAUUGCAGAAAAGCUUUUUAAUUCCAUAGCAGCUAGACUUCAUGGGAGAUUUGGGAUCCUCCACAACAACAUCCUUAACUGGUGUCAGUCUUCGCGCAUGCUGCCAGCUACCAUGGAGUGAGGCAAACCAUAUAUCACUGUUUUUGCUGUAGUAAAUGCUAACCAUGGAUGACCAUUAUUGGGUCUUGAUGUAACCUCUUUCGGCACAACUUUUUCGUCAACCUGAUAAACAUUCCAGGUACGUUAUAUCAUCCUUUAGCCAUCGUGGAAAGUCUGUGUCAAAGGUUCUUUAUAAAUUAAAUUUUCUGUGAAGAGCCUUCUUGAAGAUAAAAGAGCAUCUCCUUUCAUCUUCUCUUUCGUUGAUCAGAUGCCUUACGGCAGACAUGUGUUUGGCAUUGACGCAUUAGCCAAUUUCUAGGGACAUAUUCCUGCUUUCCAGAAAUUUAAUACUGAAACAUUAUCAUAACGUCAAUUCUUAUUGUCAAUUUAGUGGUAGGCAAGAGUCAAAAAGAAUUUAGUAUUAGAAACAAAAUUUGUAUGUUUGAUGAAGACAUGAUAUUCUGUAGAAAAGCAUAUUUCAUGAGCUUCGUCGAUUUACAAGUCCAUUGGCCCAGGAAAGCUUUGAGAAGGGUAUACUGAAGCUCAGCUGGCACUUGUAUGCUUGUGCAGAGGCACAUAGCUACAGUUUGUCGGCUGAGGGAAAAGAGAGCUAGCGUCUUCAUUACAAUUGGAUUCGAAUAUUGUAAUGCAGCUAUCAAAUGGACUGGCCAAGGCAAUUUGGAUGGCUGGGGAAUGAUUCACUCCUCGUCCCCAAUUCCUAAUGGCUACCUGCCGGUGCGCUCUUUUGUCCUGGGCCACGCUGAUCAGCUGAUGGGUGAGUGGUGAGAGACUCAAGAGGAUGGAGUGCCCGAGCCAGACGAACAGCCGGCUGGUCCCUGGCGUGGCGUGGCGUGGCGCGCUUUGCUGUCCCGGACGGAAUGGCAGUUUGGCCUUGCACUGGCGCCGGGGGCAUGGCCGGGACGGGCGGUUUUGUUGGAGCUUGGACGCACGCUGCCGGCCUCACCGUCCCGUGUGUCACGGGUACUUGUGCAGCACCCGCCUGGCCCCGGACACCGUGAUGAUGUUAACCUGACCUCGCCGCUGGCUCUCCAUUCUCCAGUCUGUCAACUUGCCCGAGUCCAUUCUGAAGCCAGUCCCAGGUAAAAAGCGACACAUCCAUACCGCCAGUGCCCAGUGGGGCUGGGCUAGGGCUAGGGCUAGCUUCUGCUCAUUGCUCAUGAUGUGCCUGCCCCGACCCUGAUAACAUCACAAGUCCAGUCCCAGUCGAGUCCAGUCAACCGUCAAGUCCUCCAGCUCAUCGUGCCCGUCACCAACGGGCCUCCCCUGUCGCUGGCUUUGCUGCUGGUAGAGCCCCGGCUGGCGGGCGAGACGGGGGAGAUGACGAACGGGUGCGGCCAAAACUGGGAGCCCGGCCCCGAGCGUGCUCUCUCGUUGCCGGAUACAAACGCAGGCUUCGGUUACGUGCAACGUGCGCGGUGCAUGUGAGGGGCUCAUUGGCCCGACGCGAUGAUGCUCACACAAGACAAAUCCGGCGAGGGCGAGGCCAGGAAGGAGGCAGGGAGCACGCCAUGGGAGGUGGGUGAGGUGAUGCAAGCCACAUGCGGCCUUGCACGGCUGUUGCUGGGCAACUCGACACAUUGAGGAGACCACACAUGGGGGCCGAGCCUGGCGUGCGUGCGUGCCCUGGAGAGCAGAUAGCAUUGGGGGUUCAAGGGUGGCUUGGUUUGGUUGUGCUUUUGUUUGGAAUGCAGAAGUUUUUGUGAACUCCGUGCUCGGUACGAAGUUUCUGCGUGUCUUCGUGCGGUCAGGCUUGCCUAUAAACAUGCUGAACAAAUAAUACACUUCGCGAAUAAAAUG